Molecule: ribosomal RNA, 960 nt
Filed under: Litoditis aff. marina PmII
Lineage: Eukaryota; Metazoa; Nematoda; Chromadorea; Rhabditida; Rhabditidae
Description: 16S ribosomal RNA
Source: RNAcentral
UAAAUUAAAUUUGAGUAAAUAUUGGUAUUGCAUAUUAUUAAAGGAAAAUUUCAUUAUUAAUGAAUAAUAGAAACAAAAAGUAGAAAAGUAUUUAAUUUUAUUGUUUCAUAAUAAAAAAUAUUACUUUUAGAGUUGAUAUGUCGAUUUUUGUGAUAACUGUAUUAUUUUUUUAUAUUAGAAAAUUAUAUAUUUAAUUAAUUAUUAUUGGAAAAUUAAAAUUUGAAGUGUUUUUAAUUUUAAGUUUUACAACUUUUUCUAAGAAUAUAUUAUAUAUUUUUUUUGUAUUUAAUAAAAUUUUAUUAAAUAAAUAAUCUUUAAAUUAGUAAGUUUAUAAAUAUAGUAAAUUAAUAAAAUAUAAAUAAAGAACUUGAAGUCUAGAUCAAAUGUUUUUUAAAGACUUAGGCUUUUAAAUAAAGCUGGCUUCUGCCCUAUGAAUUUUAAAUGGCAGUCUUAGCGUGAGGACAUUAAGGUAGCAAAAUAAUUUGUGCUUUUAUUGAGUUCCAGUAUGAAUGAAGUUAUUGGUUAGUUCUAUUUAUUUUUUAUUACUGAAUUUAAUAUUUAUUUAAGAAAAAAUAAAUAUAUUUAUACAAAGAUAAGUCUUCGGAAAUUCUAUUAUUAAUAUUUCAUUUGUUAUAUUAAUAAAUUUUCUAGGGCAGAAUAUUAUAUAAUUGUAUUUCACUAUUUAUAAUAUAAAGAAUUACUCCGGAGUUAACAGAAAAUCAUACCUAAUCUAGUUCUUAUAGUAAGGUAAGUUUUACAUCGAUGUUGUAUUUAGGUAAUCUAAAAGAGGAGAAGAUUUAGGAAUUUCAGACUGUUCUUCUGUUAAGUAACCUAACGUGAUAUUAGUUUAAUUCAUUGUGAGAUAGAAUUGUUUAUCUUGAUAAAUAUUUAUCAUUAAGAUAUUUAGUACGAAAGGAACAUUAUAAAAGUUUAAAACUUUAAAAAGAUAUAAAAAUCUUU